GACGAACGCUGGCGGCGUGCCUAACACAUGCAAGUCGUGCGAGAAAGUUCCUUCGGGAGCGAGUAAAGCGGCGCACGGGUGAGUAACACGUAGGUAACCUGCCCCCCAGUCUGGAACAACUAGAGGAAACUCUAGCUAAUGCCGGAUGAGACCACGAUCCCUUCGGGGGUUGCGGCCAAAGAUGGCCUCUACUUGUAAGCUAUCGCUGAGGGAUGGGCCUGCGGGCCAUUAGCUUGUUGGUGAGGUAACGGCUCACCAAGGCUGUGAUGGCUAGCUGGUCUGAGAGGAUGACCAGCCACACUGGGACUGAGACACGGCCCAGACUCCUACGGAGGCAGCAGUGGGGAAUAUUGCGCAAUGGGCGAAAGCCUGACGCAGCGACGCCGCGUGGGUGAUGAAGGC
Molecule: ribosomal RNA, 402 nt
Filed under: uncultured bacterium
Lineage: Bacteria
Description: bacterial SSU rRNA
Rfam family: Bacterial small subunit ribosomal RNA
Source: RNAcentral